RNAcentral lists this ribosomal RNA (429 nucleotides) under uncultured bacterium. RNAcentral's name for it is "partial 16S ribosomal RNA". It matches the Rfam family "Bacterial small subunit ribosomal RNA", at positions 524 to 898 of the family's 1533-position model. The record is from RNAcentral.
UACGUAGGAUGCAAGCGUUGUCCGGAUUUACUGGGCGUAAAGCGCGCGCAGGCGGCAGUACAAGUACCCUCUGAAAUCUCCUUGCUCAACGAGGAGGGUGGAGGGUAGACUGUGCAGCUAGAGGAGGGUAGAGGGGGGUAGAAUUGCUGGUGUAGCGGUGAAAUGCGUAGAGAUCAGCAGGAAUACCCGUGGCGAAGGCGGCCCCCUGGGCCCUAAAAUCCCCCUUUUGGAAAGCACACCCUUCGGGGUGGAAGCUGCCGAUAGGAAACCUGACGCUGAGGCGCGAAGGCUAGGGGAGCGAACGGGAUUAGAUACCCCGGUAGUCCUAGCAGUAAACGAUGACCACUAGGUGUGGGGGGUGUUGACCCCCCCUGUGCCGCAGCUAACGCAUUAAGUGGUCCGCCUGGGGAGUACGGUCGCAAGACUAAA